AAAACUUUUUCGAAAGAAAAAAAUCUGUUCUUAUCAGUUUAAUAUCUGAUACGUCCUCCUCCGGGGACUACAUAUUAAAUGGAUUUUUAGAUCACGGAGCUGGAGCCGGGGCUUGCUCCGUCCACUCCAUGCAUCGGCCUGGUAUUGCAGUGUCUCCAGGAACGGUGUGCUUUCC
RNAcentral lists this small nuclear RNA (175 nucleotides) under Carassius auratus (goldfish). RNAcentral describes it as "U2 spliceosomal RNA (ENSCARG00000032068.1)". It matches the Rfam family "U2 spliceosomal RNA". From Rfam's summary of the family: U2 is a small nuclear RNA (snRNA) component of the spliceosome (involved in pre-mRNA splicing). The record is from Rfam by way of RNAcentral. Lineage: Eukaryota; Metazoa; Chordata; Actinopteri; Cypriniformes; Cyprinidae.